AGAGUUUGAUCCUGGCUCAGGACGAACGCUGGCGGCGUGCCUAAUACAUGCAAGUAGAACGCUGACUACUUUAGCUUGCUAGAGUAGAAGGAGUUGCGAACGGGUGAGUAACGCGUAGGUAACCUGCCUACUAGCGGGGGAUAACUAUUGGAAACGAUAGCUAAUACCGCGUAACAGUGUUUAACACAUGUUAGAUGCUUGAAAGAUGCAAAUGCAUCACUAGUAGAUGGACCUGCGUUGUAUUAGCUAGUUGGUGGGGUAACGGCCUACCAAGGCGACGAUACAUAGCCGACCUGAGAGGGUGAUCGGCCACACUGGGACUGAGACACGGCCCAGACUCCUACGGGAGGCAGCAGUAGGGAAUCUUCGGCAAUGGGGGCAACCCUGACCGAGCAACGCCGCGUGAGUGAAGAAGGUUUUCGGAUCGUAAAGCUCUGUUGUAAGAGAAGAACGUGUGUGAGAGUGGAAAGUUCACACAGUGACGGUAACUUACCAGAAAGGGACGGCUAACUACGUGCCAGCAGCCGCGGUAAUACGUAGGUCCCGAGCGUUGUCCGGAUUUAUUGGGCGUAAAGCGAGCGCAGGCGGUUUAAUAAGUCUGAAGUUAAAGGCAGUGGCUUAACCAUUGUUCGCUUUGGAAACUGUUAAACUUGAGUGCAGAAGGGGAGAGUGGAAUUCCAUGUGUAGCGGUGAAAUGCGUAGAUAUAUGGAGGAACACCGGUGGCGAAAGCGGCUCUCUGGUCUGUAACUGACGCUGAGGCUCGAAAGCGUGGGGAGCAAACAGGAUU
RNAcentral lists this ribosomal RNA (788 nucleotides) under uncultured bacterium. RNAcentral's name for it is "bacterial SSU rRNA". It matches the Rfam family "Bacterial small subunit ribosomal RNA", at positions 8 to 779 of the family's 1533-position model. The record is from RNAcentral.